Long non-coding RNA from Mercenaria mercenaria, 2158 nucleotides. RefSeq lists it as uncharacterized. The record is from RefSeq and is a predicted model, not a curated record. The transcript has 3 exons. Lineage: Eukaryota; Metazoa; Mollusca; Bivalvia; Venerida; Veneridae.
CCAAGUGUCUGUGACCGCAACAGCAUAGUUACUUGAUUUUUUUCAGAAAAGUUAUAUUUAAAGAUUCAUUAUUGCGAGAUUUUAUUACUAAAAAUAUGAACUAUUUCACAAGACUAGAUUUAGGUUAUUUUGAGAAAAUUGUUUAGAUGAACAAUUGAAUAUUUUGCAUACAGUCAUGUUAUAGACAAUGUAUUCCAAAAGUUUGUUACUCUUGUUGAACUCACAGAUUGGCCAAAACGGCAAUUUCAUAGGGAUGUAAUUUUCAUUGGUUUCUAACAUUAAGAUAAAUGGAAGUUUUUAUUUUUUCAUUGAGAUUAAAUUUAAUUGAUUCGCAAAAACCUAAAACUCUAUGAAAAGUUGCAAUCCACAAAAAAUAAGGGUGUUACAGUAUAUUGAAUGGGUUUAUGACAAAACAUUAACACGGCAUUUCAACUACACAGCCUUUCGUCUACAUUUAAGCGACACUACAAAAGAUCCACAAAACUAAACAGGAGAAAGACAUGGAAUGAUUAUAGACAAAAACUGACAAACACCGACAAUCUUUUUUGCAAAAGUUACCGAAAGCAUAAGAGAAGUAACUCUGAUUAAUAGUAUAUAGUCUUAAUAUAAGCUAUAAGCCACAUGUGGUAAUUGAUCUACAUCUACAUCUACGGAGAUACUCCCAACAAUCAAUCUCUGAUCAUAACUGGGAGGUCGGGGCAGUUGUUAAAAGUAUGUUGCUAUGUUACAUGAUACAUGAUAUUCAUGUUGUUAAAGGAGUGAGAGCAGUAAUAUAUACAGCUUGUUAAAAAUAAAAGCAGGAUGAUGACAUUAGUUCGUACAUAUACGAAUCUUGAUGUUUAACUCCUCACUCCUGAAAUGAAGCAAUAUUUCGACCAACUGUCUUUCGGUAUGUAGUCGGGUCGAUGUUUUGUUGCGUCGAUAUUCAGUCUUGUCGAUGAAAUGUUGUGUCGAUGUUUUGUCUGUUGAUAUUUUGCCAUGCUCCUUAUUGAAUUAUUCAUUUCAGAACUGUAUGGAGACCAGCACAGACAGUCACAUGCACUUUUCUAUCUCUGGAUUGUGUCUGCUGUAUGAGGUGCAGGUGAAAGAGGAAAUCGUUUAUGGUGUUAAAGCUUAUUAGUAUUUUGCGAUUGUUGAAGAUUUUAUUCUACGAUUUAUAUGGUCCCUGACGCUAUCAAUAGGCGAAGGUUUGUUGGUACAUAGUGAAAUACUUCGCACACUGCUGGUUUCUUUGGAAAUAUUCAGACGUUUUGUAUGGAACUUUUUCCGCUUGGAAAACGAGCAUUUGAACAACUGUGGUCAGUUCUGAGCUGUACGAGAUAUAUCUAUAGCUCCGAUAGACUCAAGCGAUCUCUCUCAGCUUAUCGAGAUGAUGGAUGAAGACGAUGGGGCGUUUACCCACAGAUCUGAGAAACGUAGACUUAUCGGAAUGUAGGUGCUCCGCGGGCAGCUUCUGUAGAACUGGUUCUUUGUUAACAAAUGAACAGUUGUGUGUGGUGUGCUUUCAAUUUCGUUUAGCACGGGUUUUCUGUAGUGGAUUAACAGUUUGGUGGUGUUGUACUUUGAUUUUGCUAGCUGAAGUGACAUUGCACUUUUGGUCUAUUUAUUAUUUCUUAUCAGAGGCUGGUGAAUGCACGAGCCUACAGCCAUCAAACUGCAUGGCACGAUUAGUUGAUGACCUCUGCUGAUUGGGGUCAGGAGGUCAGAGGUUAAUAUCAAAGUGACCUUGAGACUAAAAGUAAGAUCUAUAUUUAGAGAAGCUUGGCUCAUCAGACUCCAUUACAUGAUUUUCUGUGGUCAUCAGAUUAACCUAUAUUCUAUUGUUUUUUUGGUGAAUGGUAAAUACACUUCAGACUGAAAGAUGUACAUCAAGUUACUACAAUGGAUUAUCAUAGGGAGCAUUUCGUGAAAGUUGUUUUUAAAUUAAGUUUGCCCGAAAACUAUGAUCUUUCGUCCCUUAAUGCCUUAUUUAUUCAUUAGCACUGUAAUAACUUUAAGCAAAUUCAAAGUUUUAGUCAGCUGGCUUUUGAUUGCAGUUUAAUGUAUUUUAGUUAAAGUUUCAUAUGUAUAUUGCUUGUGGAUGUGUUCAGUUGUUAUUAAAAAUCCUAAUACUCAGCAAGACACGCUAUUUUCUUCAUAGGAGUAGAUUAUACUUUGG